GGGCGGGGUCGACGAUUCCUACGGGAGGCAGCAGCUAAGAAUCUUCCGCAAUGGGCGAAAGCCUGACGGAGCGACGCCGCGUGGACGAAGAAGGCCGGAAGGUUGUAAAGUCCUUUUCCUGGGGGAGAAUAAUGCGGGGAGGGAAUGCCCUGCAGAUGACGUGAACCAGGGAAUAAGCCCCGGCUAAUUACGUGCCAGCAGCCGCGGUAACACGUAAGGGGCGAGCGUUGUUCGGAUUUAUUGGGCGUAAAGGGCGUGUAGGCGGUAGUGCAAGUCUGGUGUGAAAGGCCCCGGCUCAACCGGGGAAGCGCGCUGGAAACUGUGCUGCUAGAGUUUAGGAGGGGAAGCUGGAAUUCCUGGUGUAGGGGUGAAAUCUGUAGAGAUCAGGAAGAACACCGGAGGCGAAGGCGAGCUUCUGGCCAUAGACUGACGCUGAGGCGCGAAAGCGUGGGGAGCAAACAGGAUUAGAUACCCUGGUAGUCCACGCUGUAAACGAUGUGCACUAGGUGUUGGGGGUAUGAACUCUCGGUGCCGGAGCUAACGCGUUAAGUGCACCGCCUGGGGAGUACGCCGGCAACGGUAAAACUCAAAGGAAUUGACGG
This 602-nucleotide ribosomal RNA is filed under the name uncultured Spirochaeta sp. RNAcentral describes it as "bacterial SSU rRNA". It matches the Rfam family "Bacterial small subunit ribosomal RNA", at positions 321 to 916 of the family's 1533-position model. Lineage: Bacteria; Pseudomonadati; Spirochaetota; Spirochaetia; Spirochaetales; Spirochaetaceae. The record is from RNAcentral.